Molecule: unclassified non-coding RNA, 205 nt
Filed under: Hevea brasiliensis (rubber tree)
Lineage: Eukaryota; Viridiplantae; Streptophyta; Magnoliopsida; Malpighiales; Euphorbiaceae
Source: RNAcentral
GAGAAUAUGCUCCAUUUAACGGGUUCGAAGUAGCCCUUCUCCUCUGGCUCGUCAAUGGGUUCAUAGCUUAGAUCAUCCGAGAGUUGGAGGGCCUUGGGAAGAGUUGAUAGAUGCUGGAGAUGAAUUGCCAAAUGGUCACUCUUCUUCCCCUCCAAAAACAAGCGCACUCCAGUUACUGGACGAUUAUUCGAAUCAACCUUAGUAG